AUUGAACGCUGGCGGCAGGCCUAACACAUGCAAGUCGAACGAGUGGCGGACGGGCGAGUAAUGUCUGGGAAACUGCCUGAUGGAGGGGGCUAACUACUGGAAAAGGUAGCUAAUACCGCAUACCAUCGGAUGUGCCCAGAUGGGAUUAGCUAGUAGGUGGGGUAAAGGCUAACCUAGGCGACGAUCCCUAGCUGGUCUGAGAGGAUGACCCGCCACACUGGAACGGAGACACGGUCCAGACUCCUACGGGAGGCAGCAGUGGGGAAUCUUGCGCAAUGGGCGCAAGCCUGAUAGAGCCAUGCCGCGUGUAUGAAGAAGGCCUUCGGGUUGUAAAGUUCUUUCAGCGGGGAAGCGUUACCCGCAGAGGAAGCACCGGCUAACUACGUGCCAGCAGCCGCGGUAAUUC
RNAcentral lists this ribosomal RNA (406 nucleotides) under uncultured bacterium. RNAcentral's name for it is "partial 16S ribosomal RNA". It matches the Rfam family "Bacterial small subunit ribosomal RNA", at positions 30 to 526 of the family's 1533-position model. The record is from RNAcentral.